RNAcentral lists this microRNA precursor (104 nucleotides) under Marmota monax (woodchuck). The record is from RNAcentral. Lineage: Eukaryota; Metazoa; Chordata; Mammalia; Rodentia; Sciuridae.
UUUGGAAUUGUUGGGUCAUAUGGUAACUCCAUGUGUUUAACCUUUUGAGGAAUUGCCAGACUGUUUUCCAAAGUGGCUGCACUGUUUUACAUUCUCACCACAGC